UACAGAGGUCUCAAGCGUUGUUCGGAUUCAUUGGGCGUAAAGGGUGCGUAGGCGGCGCGGUAAGUCGGGUGUGAAAUCUCGGGGCUUAACUCCGAAACUGCAUUCGAUACUGCGUGCUUGAGGACUGGAGAGGAGACUGGAAUUAGGUGUAGCGGUGAAAUGCGUAGAUAUCAUGAGGAAGACCAGUGGCGAAGGCGGGUCUCUGGGCAGUAACUGACGCUGAGGAGCGAAAGCGUGGGGAGCGAACAGG
Molecule: ribosomal RNA, 250 nt
Filed under: uncultured bacterium
Lineage: Bacteria
Description: partial 16S ribosomal RNA
Rfam family: Bacterial small subunit ribosomal RNA
Source: RNAcentral